GGGGAAGUGGCAGAGUCUGGUCGAAUGCACCCGACUUGAAAUCGGGAGACUUUAAUCGGUCCGGGGGUUCGAAUCCCUCCUUUCCCG
Molecule: transfer RNA, 87 nt
Filed under: Pycnococcus provasolii
Lineage: Eukaryota; Viridiplantae; Chlorophyta; Pseudoscourfieldiophyceae; Pseudoscourfieldiales; Pycnococcaceae
Also listed under: 1 other name
Description: tRNA-Ser
Rfam family: tRNA
About the family: Transfer RNA (tRNA) molecules are approximately 80 nucleotides in length. Their secondary structure includes four short double-helical elements and three loops (D, anti-codon, and T loops).
Source: RNAcentral